CAGCCGUAAACUAUGCGCGUUAGGUGUAUCGGUGACCACGAGUUACCGAGGUGCCGAAGGGAAACCGUGAAACGUGCCGCCCGGGAAGUACGGUCGCAAGGCUGAAACUUAAAGGAAUUGGCGGGGGAGCACCACAACAGGUGGAGCCUGCGGUUUAAUUGGACUCAACGCCGGGAAGCUCACCGGAUAAGACAGCUGAAUGAUUGUCAAUCUGAAGGUUUUACAUGACUAGCUGAGAGGAGGUGCAUGGCGUAGACGUCU
This 261-nucleotide ribosomal RNA is filed under the name uncultured archaeon. Its description in RNAcentral is "partial 16S ribosomal RNA". It matches the Rfam family "Archaeal small subunit ribosomal RNA", at positions 748 to 1009 of the family's 1478-position model. The record is from RNAcentral.